This 472-nucleotide ribosomal RNA is filed under the name Pseudomonas sp. SF2. RNAcentral's name for it is "bacterial SSU rRNA". It matches the Rfam family "Bacterial small subunit ribosomal RNA", at positions 8 to 476 of the family's 1533-position model. The record is from RNAcentral. Lineage: Bacteria; Pseudomonadati; Pseudomonadota; Gammaproteobacteria; Pseudomonadales; Pseudomonadaceae.
AGAGUUUGAUCCUGGCUCAGAUUGAACGCUGGCGGCAGGCCUAACACAUGCAAGUCGAGCGGUAGAGAGAAGCUUGCUUCUCUUGAGAGCGGCGGACGGGUGAGUAAUGCCUAGGAAUCUGCCUGGUAGUGGGGGAUAACGUUCGGAAACGGACGCUAAUACCGCAUACGUCCUACGGGAGAAAGCAGGGGACCUUCGGGCCUUGCGCUAUCAGAUGAGCCUAGGUCGGAUUAGCUAGUUGGUGAGGUAAUGGCUCACCAAGGCGACGAUCCGUAACUGGUCUGAGAGGAUGAUCAGUCACACUGGAACUGAGACACGGUCCAGACUCCUACGGGAGGCAGCAGUGGGGAAUAUUGGACAAUGGGCGAAAGCCUGAUCCAGCCAUGCCGCGUGUGUGAAGAAGGUCUUCGGAUUGUAAAGCACUUUAAGUUGGGAGGAAGGGUUGUAGAUUAAUACUCUGCAAUUUGACGUA